UACGUAGGGGGCAAGCGUUGUCCGGAUUUAUUGGGCGUAAAGAGCGUGUAGGCGGUCAGGUAGGUCGGUUGUGAAAACUGGAGGCUCAACCUUCAGAGGUCGACCGAAACCCCCUGGCUAGAGUCCGGGAGAGGAGAGUGGAAGUCCUGGUGUAGCGGUGAAAUGCGCAGAUAUCAGGAAGAACACCCGUGGCGAAAGCGGCUCUCUGGAACGGUACUGACGCUGAGACGCGAAAGCGUGGGGAGCGAACAGG
RNAcentral lists this ribosomal RNA (253 nucleotides) under uncultured bacterium. RNAcentral's name for it is "partial 16S ribosomal RNA". It matches the Rfam family "Bacterial small subunit ribosomal RNA", at positions 524 to 776 of the family's 1533-position model. The record is from RNAcentral.